GACGAACGCUGGCGGCGUGCCUAAUACAUGCAAGUCGAGCGGACCAAAGGGAGCUUGCUCCUGGAGGUUAGCGGCGAACGGGUGAGUAACACGUGGGCAACCUGCCUGUAAGACUGGGAUAACAUCGAGAAAUCGGUGCUAAUACCGGAUAAUAAAAAGAACUGCAUGGUUCUUUUUUGAAAGAUGGUUUCGGCUAUCACUUACAGAUGGGCCGCGGCGCAUUAGCUAGUUGGUGAGGUAACGGCUCACCAAGGCAACGAUGCGUAGCCGACCUGAGAGGGUGAUCGGCCACACUGGGACUGAGACACGGCCCAGACUCCUACGGGAGGCAGCAGUAGGGAAUCUUCCGCAAUGGACGAAAGUCUGACGGAGCAACGCCGCGUGAGUGAUGAAGGUUUUCGGAUCGUAAAACUCUGUUGUUAGGGAAGAACAAGUGCCGUUCGAAAGGGCGGCACCUUGACGGUACCUAACGAGAAAGCCACGGCUAACUACGUG
Molecule: ribosomal RNA, 495 nt
Filed under: uncultured bacterium
Lineage: Bacteria
Description: bacterial SSU rRNA
Rfam family: Bacterial small subunit ribosomal RNA
Source: RNAcentral